This 1482-nucleotide long non-coding RNA is filed under the name Gadus morhua (Atlantic cod). RNAcentral describes it as "lncRNA (ENSGMOG00000033210.1)". Lineage: Eukaryota; Metazoa; Chordata; Actinopteri; Gadiformes; Gadidae. The record is from RNAcentral.
AUGGCAGAAUUGAAUAUUAAAGGAGCAGAGAAUCCUACCCCACAGUCAGAGCUAGAGAAACAGAUAGAUAGCCUACAGCAUAAAAUAGGAAGGCUUAAAGGGGCUCUUGAUGAAACACUGGUGACUACAGAGAGAGAACGUUUCGAGAAGGAAAUUCAAAGUAGAGAAGAAACAUUAAGUAGCCUCCAAGGUCAACUUCAAGAACAGGAAGAGGAUAGCCGCCGACGCUCAACUCGAACAAAAAUCCUGACUCCAAAAAUGCUUGAACUUCAACAAGAUGAGGCGAAGAAGAAGGAAAGAAAGAUCCUCACAGCGUAUGAAAAAUGGAAGAGUCAAGCCCGUGAGUCAAGAGAGCAGUUAAAGAAAGACCUCAAUGAAAGUGAGCUGGCAUCUCUGCUCGAUGCUCUGGAGAAAGAUAAAGAGUCAGUGGUGAAAACAUAUUCCGAAGCACUAGUUCACUUCACACCGUCAGCCGUAUUGAGAAACCAUGUUGACGCAUGUGAGGCAGCUACAACAGAAAUUAAGAAAAUCGCCUACGAGAGGAUUGUAGACAUCGAUUUAGAUUUUGAUGCAGAACAAGCACAGCGCCGUCUCAAGGAGCUACUGAAAAACGGCUAUGCUCGCUCCGUUUAUGGAUCCACUGUCUCUAGAAUGUCAAAGUCAGUCAACGGUUCUGAAGACACUACUUUAACAGCCAAACGCAUGAACGCUGCAGCAGAGCUUGCCGCGAAGGAAGUUGAGUUGGAAGGAUUUCUGGAGGAAGAGAAACAAAGGGAGAAAAUCCAACUUCUAGAAGAGCAACAAAGGACACUAGAGGAGCAACAAAGGAAGCAGCUUGAAGUUGAAAAACGCGCUCUUGAACGCAUACAGGCCGAGAAGGAAAUCAAGGCAGCUCGGGCCAGACUACAAGUCUACAACCAGGAAGCUCCACAAGAGGGCAGCGUCCACUCCUCAAAUAGUCAUAGUGGCUCCCCAGCUCCAAGUAGACAACCCCCUAACGUCACAGUCUCGUCAUCUGAGCUAAAUAUGUCGUCCCUAGCCAGGGCCCUCCAAGAUAGUAUGGCCCUAAAUAGACUUCCAGUGCCAGAGCCAUCGGUAUUUAAUGGUGACCCUAUCCAGUUUAUUGAGUGGAAAACUUCAUUUAUGUCACUCAUUGACUCAAAGGCCAUCUCCUCAGCAGAUAAGCUUUAUUAUCUGAGGAAGUAUGUAGGAGGUCCAGCUCGUAAGACACUGGAAGGGACCUUCUAUAGAAAUGAUAGCGAGGCUUACAGGGACGCUUGGGACAAAAUGAACCACAGAUAUGGCCAGCCCUUUGUUAUACAGAGAGCCUUUAGAGAUAGGCUGACAGAGUGGCCGAAAGUCCAACCUAAGGAUGCAGAGGGACUUCGGGACUUUUCAGAUUUCUUGAACGCCUGUCAAGAUGCAAUGUCACAUGUGAAAAACCUUGAAAUACUGAACGACUGUGAAGAGAACAGGAAGCUA